RNAcentral lists this long non-coding RNA (304 nucleotides) under Homo sapiens (human). RNAcentral's name for it is "non-protein coding lnc-GSDME-4:1". The record is from RNAcentral. Lineage: Eukaryota; Metazoa; Chordata; Mammalia; Primates; Hominidae.
GGUGCUGUUGAAGAGCACAGUUACAGACAGAGCUGACCAGGCUCUUCCAGAGUGCCAGUUGUCCAGCAGCAUGUUCAUUACCCUGAAGAUGUAUGAUGGUUGAACUAAACCCAUUCAUUCUAAGAAAAGGUUCUGUGGAGGGCUUUAAGCCCUUGAUAAUUGUCUUAAAAGCUACUGAUGGGAAAAAGAUCAGCACUGUGGUGAGCACUGAAGAGCUGAAUCAUAUGGCUAAUUCAAACAUAUUAAGAGCUAACAUGGAUGGGCUGAAGAAUAGGGACAAAAUGAGUAAGAGUAAGCAGCACAG